Ostrinia furnacalis (Asian corn borer) is the source of this 113-nucleotide long non-coding RNA. RefSeq lists it as uncharacterized. NCBI's taxonomy places the organism in Eukaryota, Metazoa, Arthropoda, Insecta, Lepidoptera, Crambidae. The record is from RefSeq and is a predicted model, not a curated record. The transcript has 3 exons.
UUUAUCAGCUUGUUUGAUAGGCCUAACGCAUGCAGCGUGUUCAUAGGCCCGAUGUCCUCCCGUAUAGCGGCCAGCAGCGCCAUAACGUCCACUUCUUCAGCAUCGUACUGAGC